Molecule: ribosomal RNA, 474 nt
Filed under: Triticum aestivum (bread wheat)
Lineage: Eukaryota; Viridiplantae; Streptophyta; Magnoliopsida; Poales; Poaceae
Description: partial small subunit ribosomal RNA
Source: RNAcentral
AUGGUGGAAUGGAUAGAGGAUGUGGUUGGUCAAAAGAAUAACCUCAUUGUCUUUGGAGUCCUUAACAAUCUCCGGAAGUUACUUGGACUAUCAAAGAUGAAUUUUGUGGUUUCACCAAAGGUAAGCGAUGAAGACGAGUCCAAGAGGCAUGAGCAAGAGAUUAUGGAAUUCGGGUCGUCGGAUCCAGAAUAUGUGAUCAUCGCGACUAUCUCUUUGCUCAACCUUGUUUGCCUGCUGGGAGGGCUAAGUAAAGUCAUGAAAGGUGGAUGGAAUGUACACUUGGAUGCACUUUUCCCCCAGCUCAUUCUCUGUGGGAUGGUGGUAUUCACCAGUAUCCCAUUCUAUGAAGCAAUGUUCCUAAGGAAGGACAAAUGCAGAAUACCAUUCCCAGUUACACUAGCUUCUAUUGGCUUUGUGAUGUUGGCCCUACCGACAACAAUAGUUCAAGGUCCCACAAGAGGCAUCGGUGUGUAA